GUCCACGCCGUAAACGAUGGUCACUCGAUAUCAGCGAUAUACAGUUGGUGUCUAAGCGAAAGUGAUAAGUGACCCACCUGGGGAGUACGAUCGCAAGGUUGAAACUCAAAGGAAUUGACGGGGGCCCGCACAAGCGGUGGAGCAUGUGGUUUAAUUCGAUGAUACGCGAGGAACCUUACCAGGGCUUAAAUGGUAGAUGAAUAAUCUGGAAACAGAUUAGCCUUCGGGCAUCUUCCAAGGUGC
Molecule: ribosomal RNA, 243 nt
Filed under: uncultured bacterium
Lineage: Bacteria
Description: partial 16S ribosomal RNA
Rfam family: Bacterial small subunit ribosomal RNA
Source: RNAcentral